UACAGAGGUCUCAAGCGUUGUUCGGAUUCAUUGGGCGUAAAGGGUGCGUAGGCGGCGCGGUAAGUCGGGUGUGAAAUCUUGGAGCUUAACUCCGAAACUGCAUUCGAUACGGGCUAGCUAGAGUGUGGUAGGGGAGAUCGGAAUUCCUGGUGUAGCGGUGAAAUGCGCAGAUAUCAGGAGGAACACCGGUGGCGAAGGCGGAUCUCUGGGCCAUUACUGACGCUGAGGAGCGAAAGCGUGGGGAGCGAACAGG
This 253-nucleotide ribosomal RNA is filed under the name uncultured bacterium. RNAcentral describes it as "partial 16S ribosomal RNA". It matches the Rfam family "Bacterial small subunit ribosomal RNA", at positions 524 to 776 of the family's 1533-position model. The record is from RNAcentral.